CUAUCAUAAUAAUCACCUCAUAAAACUCAAAGAAAGGUUCCUUAUUCCUUAAAUUAUGUUCAACAUCACCAACCCCCAGUUUUUUGUCAAAUAUGUUAUUCCAAGUUGAUCAAUUUUUAAAUUGUAGCCUUGUAUCCAAACGGAACAUGUGACAGCGAUGCCGACUGUCAUUCCCUUGUUAUUGAAAACCUCUUCUGCUGUAUAGGGACCGAGUGGUGUUGUCCUUAUGGGUACGACUGUACAGGAACUUCCACCUGUAAGGGAAUAAGGUGGCAAGAAACCGAUAGAAGUUUCGGAGAUGACUCCAACGAGAGAGAGAGGAUUAGGAACUCAAAUCAAUCUGUGAUCGUAAACACCAUCAUAGUAACCUCCAUCCUGUUCGGUCUCAUAAUCUUUGGUAUUUUAGUUCUCUGUGGAUGUUGCAAGAGAAGAAAUUUGCCAAAAGCUCAGCCUUUAACUCAGUCUCCACCUGCGUACAGUAGAUUUUAACCUGCCUGCUGAUAGACCGCUGCAUACGAUUCAUAUCGCAUCUUUCAACUCAACUUGCUGUGAUUUACUUGAACUUGUUUUCUGGUUGCAAUAACCUUUAUAGUUGCCUAAACCUAGAAAGUUGUUUGGCAUGGAAAUGACAGUAACUGUUCUAUUACAAUAGCCGUUGGACACAGGCAAAAUAUAAACAUUAUGAAAAAAAAAAAUGUCUGUAUUAAAACUACCCAAUAAAUUUUUAAACCCAGUUUGCGAUUUUUUAAAAUAUCGAUUUUGAUUUCAAUGUAAAUUUCAUGUACCAUACGACGUAAAUCAGCCUUAGACAACAGUUUCAUGGCUAUAAAUUCUGUAUUGUUGUACACAAUUGUUACCCUCUUACCCAAAACAUCAUAACUGCGUUGUAUAUUUUUUUUUUUACAAAUUUAAGUUAAUUUAAAAUAAAAACUCUUGUAAAGAGUUUUGUAUAAUUUUUUGAAGUGGAUUUUUCACAAUAUAUAUCGCUUUAUUUUUUUAAAGGAAACAAUGAGAGAGCCUAUAUAAUAAAUACAUUAUAUCAUUUAAGCGUUGACGGUAAAUGUUACGGGGAAAAUAUAUAAAUAGUCAACAAAUGUAUCCCAACAUGCAUAUAAGGCACAAUAAUUAAAAAUAUAAUGUUGGU
Magallana angulata is the source of this 1144-nucleotide long non-coding RNA. RefSeq lists it as uncharacterized. The record is from RefSeq and is a predicted model, not a curated record. NCBI's taxonomy places the organism in Eukaryota, Metazoa, Mollusca, Bivalvia, Ostreida, Ostreidae. The transcript is spliced from 4 exons.